CUCUGGAACGAAUUAAGUAUGUAACCAGAGGUACCACUGUACUGUGGAAUACCACCCCAUGUCUAUUCAGAAGUUAGUCCCAUUGAGUUUAUUGAGGUUUACUCCCAUAACCAAUAGGUUUGUGUUAGGAUUGCAUCUUAAUACAGCUGCCGUAUAAAAAUGUUAAGUUUUUUCCCCUGAUUCCUAUGGGUAUAGAAUUGGUCGCAGACCCCAACCCUCUGGCUAAACUUUGUGUGCAUCAUGAUUUCUGUUCUGACCUUCUCUUUUCUGGAACUGUCUCCCAGUUGAGAUGCCGUGAAGCAGGCUCUGCUCCUGGAAGCAGAGCAGCAACAAGACCAGUGGUGCUGUGUGGUCCUGAAAGGGCCUUUGGGGUCAUGGCUGUUAUGAUGUAUGGUUCUGCAGAGAACCAUAAUGUAUGUCUCUGACUUAAUCUUAGCUAAUGGUUUCAAGAAGGAAGGACUUAAGGUUAACAUUUUCUUCAACGAUAACAAUCAUUCUGAAAGGCAAUGCCUUCUGACUGUACAAGCUUUAGCAGGUUUUUGAAUGUUGCCAUUGUGUUGGCAGCACCAUUGCAUGAUGCUAUAAAACUGAAAGUUGAAAUAACAAGGUGAGAAUUGCUUCAUGAACUGUAAGCCGGAUGUGGCUGUUUAUUCAAGUAAAACAUGAAGCUUGAGACUCCAGUGUAAUAUCUCUUUGAAGGGCCUGCAGGAAAGCUGCUUUGUCUUCUACUUGGCCAUCGCAGCUGCACAAAUUUAUUGGUAUUGCUCAUGAUAAAUGCAUAAAGUGUAUAACCACAGCAAAACGUUAUUGUUACUCAAAGUCCCAGGGCAUGAUCUGAACACACAUGAAGCAGCAACCUUGCUGAAGGUAUGUGGGCCUGGGCUAAUGAUCAGUGUCUGGUGGGAGACCUCCUGGAAGAAAGGUGGGAUUGAAGUGUGUGUGUGUGUGUGUGUGUGUGUGUGUGUGUG
Molecule: non-coding RNA, 968 nt
Organism: Podarcis lilfordi (Lilford's wall lizard)
Lineage: Eukaryota; Metazoa; Chordata; Lepidosauria; Squamata; Lacertidae
Source: the annotation of a GenBank genome assembly